This 339-nucleotide unclassified non-coding RNA is filed under the name soil metagenome. RNAcentral describes it as "partial contains 5.8S ribosomal RNA, internal transcribed spacer 2, and large subunit ribosomal RNA". The stretch from base 1 to 120 matches the Rfam family "5.8S ribosomal RNA", at positions 35 to 154 of the family's 154-position model. The record is from RNAcentral.
GAUGAAGAACGUAGCGAAAUGCGAUACGUAGUGUGAAUUGCAGAAUUCAGUGAAUCAUCGAAUCUUUGAACGCACAUUGCACCUCUCGGUAUUCCGGGAGGUAUGCCUGUUCGAGCGUCAUUUGUACCCUCAGGCUCUGCUUGGUGUUGGGUGUUUGUUCCGCCUCUGUGUGUGAACUCGCCUCAAAACAAUUGGCAGCCGGCGUACUUGUUUCGGAGCGCAGCACAUUUUGCGAUCCAGAUCAACGUACAGCGGCAUCCAAGAAGCCUUAUUUAACGCUCUUGACCUCGGAUCAGGUAGGGAUACCCGCUGAACUUAAGCAUAUCAAUAAGCGGAGGA